Molecule: unclassified non-coding RNA, 132 nt
Filed under: Bartonella sp. 1-1C
Lineage: Bacteria; Pseudomonadati; Pseudomonadota; Alphaproteobacteria; Hyphomicrobiales; Bartonellaceae
Source: RNAcentral
UAAAUUAUUUUUCUUUAUAUGUAAAGAUAAAAAUUAUUUUAUAUAAAGAUAAAUAAUAUUUAUUACUUAUAUACAUAAUGUAUUAUAUAUUAUUAUUAACAAUACAUAAUGUAUUAAAUUAUUCUUUUAAUA